CAGAGCCUGGAGCCUGUUUCGGAUUCUGCGUCUCCCUCUCCCUCUUGCCCCUCCCCUACUCGCACUCUGACCCUCUCUCAAAAAUAAAUAAACAUUACAAAAGAAAAAGAAAAAGAAAGACCUGAUCGUUUCUCUGAGGAAUUUGUGGUCCAGUCCAAGAGGCAGCACGCAUUCACAUCUGCCGUUUAAGAGAAUGGUGAGUGCUUAUAAAGGAGCCGCAUGCAUGUGAGGUUCAGGGAAGCUGUGGACAUUAAUGCACUCAGCAUGUACUUGUUGCACGCCCCCCCCCACCCCCGCUUCAGGCUCCAACCUGGGUUCUGGGGCUAUGGUGCUGGACUCACAGAUGGGAGGAAGGGCAGGUAAAUCAAUAAUUACAGAAUGGACUGAUAUCUGCUAUAAUAAAGGUAUAUACUCCAUGAUCUGAGAAAGUAAUUCUAGUAAGGUUUCUGGGAAUCUAGGAAGGCUUCUCAUAGGAGGUGACCUUUGAUCGAGGUUACGAACAGAUGUCUAGGAAAGGUGCUGCCAUGAAACACCCAAGAAAAGAGAAGGAAGAGAGCAAAGAACCUUCUAAGUGAGUGAGCAGCACGAUCGGGGUGUGGAGGAAAAGCCAAAUGUGGAGUGUGGAAACAGUGGCCAGAUUGGGAAGCAGUGGCUGUGAGAGACCCCUGGUCUAGCUUACUAAAACACCCCCACCCUACCUUCAACUUUGUAAACGCCUCACUCGCAGAGCCUGUACUCCCACUAGUUAACAAACAGGAUUUCUGCGGUUAGACAUCUGGACACCGGGGGAGCUGUACAGGCUGCUACAUAGAUAACCGCUUUCCUCUCGCUUCUGUAAUCUUGCUUACGCGCCCAACCAUAGUAAUCUUGCUUACGCGCCCAACCCUAACCGAAAGGUCCCUAGCCGCUUCGCAGCCCGGGCUCCAAGUUGCAUCAGCCAAAAGAAACUUCAUUUCCCAAGCUUCCCCGGGACGAAACUACCCACAACCCUAACCAUCACCGAGCAGAGAGCCUACCACCAGCCUGUAUGCAAAUAAGACUCAAAAUAGCAUAAAAGACCUGUGACCCCGUUUAUCGGGGCUCUCCCGCUUUCUAACACUGGGGAGCCCUGGUGCACCAGUAAAGACUCUCUGCCGACGUCGGAGUGCCGUGUGGUUCUUUGCGCCAACUCUCAUUCCAUAGGGCCUAGGAGCUUGGCUCCUAACAUUUGGUGCAUUGGCCGGGAACCCGAGGGAAGGCAAGAGAACCCCGGCCCCGUCGGUGGAUGACUCUCCGGCCCGGGCCACUGACGGACUGACUGAAGACAGACUUCUGUGCCUUUGUCUACACACAGGUAUUGUGUUCUAUGUUUUGUCUCUGAACUGUGAAUUCUGAGGCCGGCCGGCCACCUCAGUAGGAGUGUUGAAGGAGGACAGACGUGUCCUGAACCUUCACACCCCAGCCCCGAGGGACGCCUCGGUGGUGUUUGUAGGGGAGAACUGACAAGUUCGUCAGACUCCCCAAAUCCGUAGGCAGGCCUCCCCUGCCAUCUGAAUCUGAAUACUGGCCGCGGCUCCUUGGUUGUUGUCUAGUCUGUGUUGUCUGGUCUGUGUCGACAUUGUAGUCAUCUUUGUGUAUGUGUGUGUAAGUGUGCUGGUGUGGACGCGUGGACAGGACAGGACGACACAGCCAUGGGACAGACAUUGACUACUCCUCUAACUUUGACUCUGACUCAUUUCUCGGACGUCCAAGCAAGAGCUCACAAUCUUUCCCUUGAGGUUCGGAAAGGUCGAUGGCGAACUUAUUGUUCAUCAGAGUGGCCCACCCUAUCCGUAGGGUGGCCCCGGGAUGGGACUUUUGACCUCUCUAUUAUAUUACAGGUUAAGACGAAGGUAAUGGAUCCCGGACCACAAGGUCAUCCAGAUCAAGUAGCCUAUAUCCUCACUUGGGAGGAUCUCAUUCGGAAUCCUCCGGCAUGGGUGAAACCCUUCCUCCCUUCCUGCCCCCUAUCUCAAUCUACCCUUCUUCCCCUGAAAACCUCAAAAGACCGUGCCUCAACCCAAGCUUCAGACCCGCCCAAACCAGUUCUUCCUGAUGAGUCCCAAAAGGACCCUCUUCUCCUAGACGCUUUGUCCUUGCCGCCCCACAACCCCCUCUUACAGCCUCCACCCUAUAAUCCGCCCCUGGCCCCCGCCUUGACCCCGGUGGCCCCUACUUCCCCUCCUGCCUCCAGUUCCUCCUCCCCCUCCCCAAUUUCUUCCCCCGCCUCCGUCUCCGGCGAUCAGACGACCCGAACGGCCCUCCCACUUGGCAAUCUUCCCUGUUUCCUCUCCGGACUGUCAACCGGACUAUCCAGUAUUGGCCAUUUUCUGCAUCUGAUCUUUACAAUUGGAAAACUCAUAACCCUUCCUUUUCCCAAGAACCCCAGGCCCUAACCUCACUGAUAGAAUCUAUCCUCCUCACACACCAGCCCACCUGGGACGACUGCCAGCAGCUCCUACAGGUCCUUUUGACUACAGAGGAAAGGCAACAAGUUCUCCUGGAGGGUUUCCAACCCAGCUCCCCAACGAAAUAGAUGAGGGGUUUCCCCUCACCCGCCCGGACUGGGACUAUGAAACGGCUCCAGGUAGGAGACUCCGUGUACGUCCGGCGGCACCGCUCUCAAGGAUUGGAGCCUCGUUGGAAGGGACCUUACAUCGUCCUGCUGACCACGCCCACCGCCAUAAAGGUUGACGGGAUUGCCGCCUGGAUUCACGCAUCGCACGCCAAAGCAGCCCCAAAAACCCCUGGACCAGAAACUCCCAAAACCUGGAAGCUCCACCGUUCGGAGAACCCUCUUAAGAUAAGACUCUCCCGUGUCUGACUGCUAAUCCACCCUGUCCCUGCCCGAACCCAAAAUGAAACCCCCAGCGGGAAUGGUCUUUCUGUGGGUCCUCACAAGCUUGGGGGCGGGAAUUGGAGCUAAAAUUGUCAAAGAGGGGAACCCACAUCAGGUUUACACCUUGACUUGACCUGUUGAUCUUACAAGAAGGCGGGUUAUGUGCUGCCCUCAAAGAAGAGUGCUGCUUCUAUGCUGAUCACACAGGGAUAAUAAGGGAUAGCAUGGCCAAGCUGAGGGAGAGACUCAAACAAAGGCAAAAGCUGUUCGAAUCUCAGCAAGGCUGGUUUGAGGGGUAGUAUAACAAAUCCCCCUGGUUUACCACUUUAGUCUCCUCCCUCAUGGGCCCCUUAAUACUCCUACUAUUAAUACUGGUGUUCGGACCCUGCAUCCUUAACCGCUUGGUACAGUUCAUAAGAGAAAGACUCUCUGUCAUCCAGGCCUUGGUUCUAACCCAACAGUACCACCAACUAAGACAAUUUGACGCAGAAAGGCCAGAUACAAUUGAAUGAAAGGUUUCAUUCGAUGCCAAAAGAAAAUGGGGGAAUGAGAGACCCCUGGUCUAGCUUACUAAAACACCCCCACCCUACCUUCAACUUUGUAAACGCCUCACUCGCAGAGCCUGUACUCCCACUAGUUAACAAACAGGAUUUCUGCGGUUAGACAUCUGGACACCGGGGGAGCUGUACAGGCUGCUACAUAGAUAACCGCUUUCCUCUCGCUUCUGUAAUCUUGCUUACACGCCCAACCAUAGUAAUCUUGCUUACGCGCCCAACCCUAACUGAAAGGUCCCUAGCCGCUUCGCAGCCCGGGCUCCAAGUUGCAUCAGCCAAAAGAAACUUCAUUUCCCAAGCUUCCCCGGGACGAAACUACCCACAACCCUAACCAUCACCGAGCAGAGAGCCUACCACCAGCCUGUAUGCAAAUAAGACUCAAAAUAGCAUAAAAGACCUGUGACCCCGUUUAUCGGGGCUCUCCCGCUUUCUAACACUGGGGAGCCCUGGUGCACCAGUAAAGACUCUCUGCCGA
Felis catus (domestic cat) is the source of this 3886-nucleotide long non-coding RNA. RefSeq lists it as uncharacterized. The record is from RefSeq and is a predicted model, not a curated record. Lineage: Eukaryota; Metazoa; Chordata; Mammalia; Carnivora; Felidae. The transcript has 2 exons.